GACGGUUAAUACGCAACCUAUGGUUUCAUCUGCCAGUCUUCAAGCAGAAGACCACGCUUCCCCCUCCAACACCAUUUUCAAGUUUUAUAGCUUAGUGUAACCAUUUUAAUUGUUCUUUUUCUGCAAGGCAUGAAGAUAAACCAUGCAUGAAUCAAUACAUGAAUGAAUCAGCCUCUGGUCUAGCUCACUGAUGUACUCAUCAUUUAUAUCCUUGCAUAAUUUACAGAAAUUGAAAGUGUAGUGAGGCUUUGCAUUCAGCUGAAUGUGGUUUGUUUACACAGUCCAAUAGAGUUUCACGUUCCAGAAAAGCUGAUUCUGCAGGGAUUGCUCAAGCAGGAUAAAAACAUCUAAAGCUUUGUGCUAAAAUAGAUGCAGUUAAGUGCCUAGGUGUCCCAUCACUUUUAGCCAAAUCUUAAUGAGAACACUGACAUCUUGGCUUUGUUGUGCAUGGUUUCACUUAAUUCAGAGGUAGCUGGGGCUCCCUGCACAAAAUUCAGUAGGCUGGAGUAUUAGCCUUUGGCUGAAAGAAAGACUAAGAUUCAUCUCAGUGAACUGCAGCUGCUUGAAAGUUAGGCAUCUAAACUAAUUUACUCGUCCAGGUUCCUGCAGUGACUGAGACACCUCCCCCACCUGGCUGUUCCUCUCAUAACCAGGAUUCACCUCCAGAGAUUACCACCUCUUGGAUGCCAUUCUCAAUUCUUCAUUUCCACUAACCUUAACAGGAUGUGAGACCACAAAAAGCAAGACACAUUAACUAUUCCCAGCACUUCUAGAAAAAUACCCUUACUAUCAGCAUGUUUCCUUCUGUUUUCUGUACCCACUUUGGCCAUACAUCACAGGAAUUAGGACUAAUGGGAAGAAAAUCCCUGCCAGGUUUCCUCAGAGCUCUUCUCCUUUGGCAAUGGUGUUUUUCCCCCAUUCUCUCCACUUUCACACAAACACACCCCACCAUUCCCCAGCCAACAAUGGAGACCGGGGGAUGAGGGGGGAGGGCAAACCCUGCAGACUGUCUGCCUCCACAGACUGUUAUUUUGGAUUUCAUUGACCUUUGAUAGGGCAACUCUUUUUCGGAUCGCUCUCUUGGUUGUAUUCUCCAGGGGAUAUGGCUUUUUACAUUACAAAUUUUGAAAGAUUCUAGGGAAGAAUUUCUGUCUCUCAAAAGCCCUAUAUCUGUUUGAAGUGUUUGGGUUUAUCAGUGACAAUUACAAAACAGAAGCAGUCUGUAUGUGAGGAAAGAUUUCUGUUUGUUGUUUGUAAGCUAUUUUCACUUUGGCUGUAGCUGUCAAGGGGGAUUUCACAGCCAUCCACAUUAUGUCUCACCCCUGUAGCUGAUAUCAGAGCAACCUUAGCUGCUUGAGUAGAAAAAAGAAUCAAGGAGACACAUUAUCUUUUAAAGAAAAGGAACAAAAAAUACUUUUGCAGAACCAACCUAGAGCUCUGCAUCAAAUACCAUCUGUGUUUAAAAAGAAACACAGGGUUGUGAUGUUAAUGAAUUAUUGUUAUUUCCUAGAGGCACAGAUGAAGUGUUUGGUUUUGUGCAAAUCAGAAGUCUCAAACCAGCCCUGUCCCAUUAGCACGGCACAUCAAACACCACAAGCUGAUUUUUGGUUUUUUGGUUCAGCUGAAGGCUGAGGAUUUACACCACUAACAACAGCCACGCAUAUGGUCACAUACAGUCAGGAAAUGAACAACUCUGCAUGAACCGAAGAGAGCGAGGGUGCAAUAAAAACAUAUCCUGCAAAGGGAUCUGUGACGGGAAAUGGGAGGAGAGCUCAGCUUGCAAGAGAAGAACAAAGCCUGUCUCUCUCCAGACUCCACUCUUCAGCAACAUACCACUCAGGAAAGGCCCUGAAAUCCAAAACAUCACUGAGGAGAUGUUUCAGUCUGUGUGAAGGUCAACACCCAGGGUACUGAGAGGGCACCAAGAGGUGCAUCGUGACAAAGAGGCCUGUCCCCCUGCAGAGCCUGGGCCUGGGCUUCAGAAGAUGCUGAUGAAGGCACUGGGUUUGUCCCAUCAUCCAAACACUUACAAUGAGGUGGUAUAUUGCUCCUCAGACAUGGAUGAGAUGCAUACUUCCAUCUGAGAAAUCAAGUCAGAACAGAAUAAGAUGCUUGAAGACUCCUGACAGGAAAAGACAAAAGAAGAUUAGAAACCUUGCACGCAGCAGCAAAAACAGACUGUGAAUAUUGAAAGCAGGAUCCUGGAUUUUAAAUACAAGCUCAAUUUUCAUGUUUGGAUUUAACCUCUGCAUGUGAGCACAUCUGCCAGAUGAUCCAACCCACUGAUGCUACCUGCCCUCCUAAGUUGAUCUCCCUGGCUGAAGGGUCAGGAGGAGUACUGCCAACCUGGACAGGGUUUCUCAUCUUGAAGCAGAAGAUAGGAAGAGUACAUUCAAGUUAUGAAAUGCAGCAUCAGGGAGAAGAACAGUGCUGGGCCAAAAACCUUGCUUUGCCCCACCACUCAGCAUCGUGCUGCAGCAGGGAGAGGGCAGCAGUCCCUCUGGUACCCCUAUUCUCCAUGCAAAGAGCAGCAGACGGCGGUGAUCAGAUCCAGCCUUGCUGACCUUGCACCAACAUGGAUAUGGAGCAGCCACAUGGUGAGAGCACUGGAAAAGAAGCUUAAAAUCUGCUCCAACUGUUUCCCAGCAGGUGUUUACUUCCUCCCAGCUGACAAGCGUGACUUGCUGUACAAACACACACACCCCUUUGCGGACAAAGUCAAACAAGCAAACCUUUGGCAGCAAUUUAAGUUUGUGUGACAUUGCUCUUAGAUACUUUAAGAGCAAUUAUAUGGCAGGUAACUGCCUCUCCUCUGGGAGGUGGCAACAAAGGGCUGGGAGUUCAAAGACAUGCCAGAGUCAUUUAUUCAGUUAUGAUAAUAACCAGGGUGUAAAUUACAACAGACUGUGAAACAGAAUUGCUAUUAGAUUUAACAACAGAUGGGUAAUUGUUCCCAAAUCCUGACAAUACUGAAAUGUGCACCUUAAUGAUUUCAACUCCAUGUGAAGUGACUGGGCUCCGGCUUGGAGCCUCCAGUGUAGAUUUAGAUAUAAGUGCAGAAACCAGGGACAUCCCUGAGCAAUAGCACCAGUGGGUAGGAACAUUGCCCCUUUGCCUUUCUGGUCCUGUCCUGUGGGGGACCCACAGCUCUUUUGGCCUUGUGAGAGCUGAGUCCCACCUACAGCAUCACAGGGAAGACAGUUUGAUCUAGAUGUAAAAAAGGGAUUGCUGAACCUAAAAGCAGGAAAGAAAUAGAAAAAGAGAGGAAGAAAAUGCUGUCCAGGAGGAGUAAUAACAGCAUGUGCCAGAGGGAACAAGUUCCCUGCCUGGCAACAUCCCUUCCUGUGGUCCAGGAUGAAAAAAAGGACUGCUCUGUGCUGAAAUGGAUGGAUGGCUGUAUAGGGUGAGGAGCUGCACCUGGAUGAGACAUAAAACCAAGGCCCUUAUUAUGGUGUCCACUCAUCAAAGCUCUUAUCAUUUUUACUUUCAAAGAACAGAACGUGACACCUUGUUUCCUGUUUUAAACCAGGUCAUUAACUAAUUUUUCCCUUUCAGUGUAAAUACUAUUUUCCUUUGUGGUGGCAUUCUUUGCUGUUGGGUGCCAUGACAGUGCUACACUGCUGUCUUCCCUGACAGAAGUCACAGUAAGGGAAAAUAAUUUUAGCCAAAACAUUUUUGUCAGUGAUAUUCUGAUUGAAAAUCCCUCUACACCUAUGUCUCAGCUGCAGAUUUGCCCUAAGACUUCCUGUAAUCUUUCUGGUGAAGCUCCACUACACACAAAUCAAAUCAAGAGAAGCUCUCAUCAGUGUGAAAUACAACAGAGAGCAUUUCCCAGGCUAUAUGUCCUGAUUAAGUGCAUUUUGUUCCCAAAUUUACAGCAUGAUUUAGAUUUUCAUGUGUUGUUCUGUUGCAAAAAAUAGUCCUUACUCAAGACCAGUCUGCAUUAUGCUUUCAAAACUAUCACAGUGCUGGAGGGAACCUGCAGUACCAAUACCAGAGAUAAUUCCAUCACAGAUCAUUCCCCUUUGUUGGAGAAAGCUUUUGUUUUGGCCACCUAUAGAGCCACUAUCCAGCUCUCUGUGUGAAUGUACAGGAAAGCACAUGUAUGUACUGAGUUGAGAACAACCAGUUUCACUUCACGGCAGAUGUUAGCAGCCUGGUGCUCCUAGCUGAAUACCUGAUACAUUAUUCCGUGUUUAUUAACCACCAAUUUAUAGGCCAGAUUUUUAGACAGUGUACAUCUGGACUUCUCUGCUGAGGUUGCUCCUUUGUAUUACGCAAGCUGCAGUCUGUAGCAUAUCUCACAUUACAUAACAUUUUCAUAUUUAUAACUAAAGUAUUUUAGAAGCAUUCUUUAAUAUUUUGACUGGAAAGCAGAGCACUGUCUUCUUUUGAAAUGCGUGUUAGAAUGACAGGGACAGAGGACAGAUAGUAAGCAAAGAUAUACAGCGGGGUUUUAUUUUCUUGCAUCCAUGCAUAACUGAUCCAAACAUUUUAGAGUAUAGAAUGUAACGUGCUGCUUAGCACUGACAAAAGCACCAGGUGUUACCUGAUGACAAGAAACUGGUUCAGAGUUGCAGAAACAAGACAUUUCAAGUGUCCUUAGGCUUUCCUCUGUGAAAUCAAACACUUCUCAUAGAAUACCGAGGUUACCAAACUCACAGAGCAUCUCAUUGAAGCAUAUGUUUUUGAACCAAAAGGCCACAGUGCUCAGUCUGAGGUCAGCAAUAGCUGUAACACCCAGCACACCCCAUACAAGAAUGAGCCAGUCACCUUAUAUGAGUCAGUCGUGAGAGACCUUGCUUGUCACUUUAGAUAAUUUUCACAAACAGACCAGUCAAGACCUGUGGAUCCAAUUGUUGGUAUCACUUAGUUGAGCAGAGUUUGCAAACCAGGACUUGAUGGGCCAGAUUGGCCAGCUCCUUAUGUCUCCCAUGUGCUGACGAGACUCCACCAACACUGCUGGUUGUACAUGGAGGUAUUUGGAGGGGCUGCCAGGCUCCCUGCAUCCCAUCAGAUUCCCACCAAAAGGCAUUCAAAGGGAAUUUUAAGCAUCAGGGUUAACCGUGCUCCAAGCAAAAGCAAAGGAAGAAAAAAUAACAUAGCUGUUAAUUGUUUUGAUUUUAAAAUGCAUCUCAUUAUAUGCAAAUUUAGUUGUGUUUCUUUUUUUUUUUUCCAGAGUAGUCAACUUUUGAAUAAAUCACACUGCUCCUGCCACUCACAGUGCUGUCAAGUUACUUGUCAAAAUCAACGUGGUCAGGUGGGUCCAUUUCCAGCCCCUGUGCAGGCUACAUUACCUGCCGCUUUUGGAUGUGCUGUUAGUUCAGACAGGCUGCAUGAGAAAAGGGGCAUGAGAGCAUUUCUGGGCUUUCCACCACGCUAGUGAUUUGUUAGUGUUCUAGCCAUGCCAGUGCAUGCUGAAGUCUUUUGUCCCUCCUUUGAAAGAAAUCUCAUCGUCAUCAGACAGCCUAUAAAUUCCAUUAAUCUGAAAUAAUAUUUAAUGAUCAGCUACAAAAUCCCUUUGGUUAACAAACCAAACAUUGUGCUGCUUUGCAGGAGAAUGUAAGUGGUGUGAACAGUCACCUCCACAGCUCCUGUUCCCACUUGCUCUCCAGCUUUGGCAAGGGCAGGGAUAUGAAUUCCUUCACGUUCCCAUUCGCAGGGUGAUAACAGCACUAAUGACGGUGGUGUUGACAAGGUGGGGUCAUUUAUCAGUCUCCUGCCUGACCUUACUGGGAGCUCAGCUGCAGAUGACGCACCAGGUGUCACAGGGUGCUGUCGUCUGCCCCAGGGGGCUGCCAGCUCCGGACCCCUGCAGCCUCUGUGACGCUCUCCAGAGAGGCAGAGCUCUUCACGUGCGUCAGGCACAACAUUACAUGUUGGUCAUGGGUCACACGAAUGUGACGCAUAGUGCUAAAAGCCCUGAAGCUGUGCCUCCAGUGUCAUCGCAGCCUUCUCAAGUUUCCCCUGGUCUUCUCUUUCCUGGGGUGGGAAGUCCUCCUCCCAUGAGCAGCAGCAGGAAACUGAGCCCCCUCCUGCUGCUGUGUACACGAUCCUGUGCCUUGCAGAACAAAGGGAUAUGCUCCAGAAACAGCCUGCAGGGAUGUAGUGUAAAUUAAAGCAAAAGAACAACAACAACAACAAAAUGUAGAUGGAGCUACUAGUACAAUCAGCAUUACUUUCUUCUUCUGUUCAAAAAAUCCUGCUUUUCAUCUGUUUAUCGUUUUGUCAGAUGUGUGGAGGGGGAAGUUUUCCAAGCCAGGUGUCUCUCUUUGGCUGAAUCUUUUAUUUAAUUAUUUUGCAGAGUUUCAGCAAAGUGCCUCAGCCGUUUCCUGGAAUGAAACUGGGGGCAGGGGAAGGAGAGGGAAAUGUUGUCAAGGCAACAGUAAUCCCAUUAUUUUCUAACUUCUGAGUGCCUGAGUAGGCAACCUUUAUCUUCUUUCUGUGCCGUUUUUGUACAUAAUAAUAACAGCCACAAUUAUUCUCAUCGGCUUUAAGAAAAGUGAAGCAGGAAUAGCGAAGGGACAGUAAGACAUGCUUUUGCAAACAAAACAAACUAGUGCCGUCGUACUGCUGAUUGCUGGAUAUCCUGCUGCUGUGUUGAAAAAAGGCAUUCAGGGCCCAACUGCUCUGCUUGCAAUGUCCCUCUAAAUUGCCCUCCAUCCGGACAAGAUCAAGAAGCUCAUUUCCUCAUCUUGAAGUGCAACUGACAGCCUCCACACGCUCUGGUAUUGAAAUCGUUGAGCAUAUGUUAGUGUGCAGCAAUCAUUUCCCUCCAGAUUUUACGGCUCAUUGUCAUUUUUCACACAAUAAAAUGUUUUAAUGAGGAGGAAGGCUCUGCUUUAUGUUUUGGGGAAGGUCCCUGGGGAGAGAAUUGUAAUUUCUGCAUGAUGGCGGAGACUUUCAAAUCAUAUUGCAUCAGUUAUGAUUUGCCAGACAAAAUGCGUUUGAAGCAUAAACUAAGCUUACAGCACAUUUGUAAAGCUCACAAAAUAAAAGAAAAACAUAGAAAAAGAAAAACCUACUGGCCUCCCAGCAGUCCUGCUGGCUUUACGUACUUUCCUU
This 7065-nucleotide long non-coding RNA is filed under the name Gallus gallus (chicken). Its description in RNAcentral is "lncRNA (ENSGALG00010014129.1)". Lineage: Eukaryota; Metazoa; Chordata; Aves; Galliformes; Phasianidae. The record is from RNAcentral.